Acanthosepion pharaonis is the source of this 110-nucleotide non-coding RNA. The record is from the annotation of a GenBank genome assembly. NCBI's taxonomy places the organism in Eukaryota, Metazoa, Mollusca, Cephalopoda, Sepiida, Sepiidae.
UACAGCCAUAUCACAUUGAAACACCAGUUACCGUAUGAUCAGCGAAGUUAAGCAACAUCGAGCCUGGUCAGUACAUAGAUGGUUGACCGCUUGGGAAUACCAAGUGCUGA